RNAcentral lists this ribosomal RNA (406 nucleotides) under uncultured bacterium. RNAcentral's name for it is "partial 16S ribosomal RNA". It matches the Rfam family "Bacterial small subunit ribosomal RNA", at positions 30 to 526 of the family's 1533-position model. The record is from RNAcentral.
AUUGAACGCUGGCGGCAGGCCUAACACAUGCAAGUCGAACGAGUGGCGGACGGGUGAGUAAUGUCUGGGAAACUUCCUGCUGGAUGGCGAUAACUACUGGACACUGUAGCUAAUACCGCAUACCAUCGGAUGUGCCCAGAUGGGAUUAGCUAGUGGGGGGGGUAAAGGCUAACCUAGGCGACGAUCCCUAGCUGGUCUGAGAGGAUGACCAGCAACACUGGAACUGAGACACGGGCCAGACUCCUACGGGGGGCAGCAGUGGGGAAGAUUGCACAAUGGGCGAAAGCCUGAUGCAGCCAUGCCGCGUGUAUGAAGAAGGCCUUCGGGUUGUAAAGUACUUUAAGCGGGGAGGCGUUACCCGCAGAAGAAGCACCGGCUAACUCCGUGCCAGCAGCCGCGGUAAUAC